This 608-nucleotide long non-coding RNA is filed under the name Brassica napus (rape). RNAcentral's name for it is "long non-coding RNA (BNAP_LNC015315)". The record is from RNAcentral. Lineage: Eukaryota; Viridiplantae; Streptophyta; Magnoliopsida; Brassicales; Brassicaceae.
UCACUCCAAUCAUCCUCUUGGAGAUUCUCUUGUUGAGAAGUUGGGGAAGCAUGGUGAUCCUCAUAUGAAAUCUCCUCAUUCUGUUCUUCAUCACUAAUCUCUCUGUGAGAGUCCAGCAUCUUCACAUAAGCAUCACUUUCCUUGUUCUCAACCAUUUGGACCUCUCUCUCAAUUGUUAAGGCAUGUUGUAGAGAGUCUUCAAGUGCCAACUCCUCUAGAAGUUCAUCAGCUAACACCUUCAUCUCCUCAAUGUAGAAUGCUUGGCUUUGAGUAAUAGGCUUCUUCAUUACCUCCUUGAUGUCAAAGUGAAGAAUGUUUCCCUUUCCAAGGUGAAGAUCAAUCUUCCCUUCCUUAACAUUCACAACUGCUCAUGCUGUAGCCAAGAAAGGUCUCCCCAAUAUUAAAGGAUCUGUUGGUUCUUCAUCCAUCUCUAACACCACAAAAUCUGUAGGGAUCUCACAAUUUCCAACCAUGACAGGGAGAUCUUCUAUGAUACCAAUGGGAAUCUUCACUGAGCGAUCAGCUAGCACAAGAGAGAGUCUACACUUCUUGUAUUGUGUAAAGCCAAGCCUUUUAGCAAUGGAGAGAGGCAUAAGGCUCACACUUUC